AUAUUUGUCUUUUAUAUAAUUUAAUAAUUCAAANAGAAUGUUUUAGUUUGAUAGUUUGUUGUGUGUGUGUGAAUAGGGGCAAAUUAGUCAUAUCCUGUAUGGGUGAUGAAUUAAUUAUGUUCCUUGUAAUAAAGUGGGUGAUUUGGUGUGUUUUGUGUGCAUUUGGUGUUGUAACCUUCUCUGCAUUUGUCUGGAGUCUCCUAUAAUGUUAGAAGACGGUCAGGGUCUGGUUGAAUUAAUUAAUGAAAACUCCUUUCUUCUUCUACUACUUCUUUUUUUUAAAUUUUUUUUUUUUUUUUUUUUUUUUUUUUUUUAUGAAAGAAUCUUUAAUUUAUUUUUUCAAAUUUAUUUAAAUAAUAUAAUAGUCUUUACAUUUU
RNAcentral lists this long non-coding RNA (377 nucleotides) under Olea europaea subsp. europaea. The record is from RNAcentral. Lineage: Eukaryota; Viridiplantae; Streptophyta; Magnoliopsida; Lamiales; Oleaceae.